Molecule: ribosomal RNA, 510 nt
Filed under: uncultured bacterium
Lineage: Bacteria
Description: bacterial SSU rRNA
Rfam family: Bacterial small subunit ribosomal RNA
Source: RNAcentral
UAGUCCACGCCGUAAACGAUGAGCACUAGUUUUUGGGGGAAUUAACCCCUUCAGAGACGUAGCUAACGCAUUAAGUGCUCCGCCUGGGGAGUACGGUCGCAAGACUAAAACUCAAAGGAAUUGACGGGGGCCCGCACAAGCGGUGGAUCAUGUGGUUUAAUUCGAAGCAACGCGAAUAACCUUACCUGGGCUUGAACUCCUUCGAAUUCAGGGUAAUGCCUGAAGUGUCCGCAAGGAAAUGAAGUGAGAGGUGCUGCAUGGCUGUCGUCAGCUCGUGUUGUGAAAUGUUGGGUUAAGUCUCGCAACGAGCGCAACCCCUAUCUUUAGUUGCCAGCAUUUAGUUGGGCACUCUAGAGAGACUGCCUGGGCAACCAGGAGGAAGGUGGGGAUGACGUCAAGUCCUCAUGGCCCUUAUGUCCAGGGCUACACACGUGAUACAAUGGCGCGCACAAAGGGAAGCGAACCAGCGAUGGGGAGCAAAUCUCAAAAAGCACGUCUCAGUCCGGAUUG